This is a long non-coding RNA of Hippocampus zosterae (dwarf seahorse), 616 nucleotides long. RefSeq lists it as uncharacterized. The transcript is spliced from 2 exons. The record is from RefSeq and is a predicted model, not a curated record. Lineage: Eukaryota; Metazoa; Chordata; Actinopteri; Syngnathiformes; Syngnathidae.
ACACAUGUAUAUAUGCUGUGCUCAUUUUAGGAGUACAUGACAUUGGUGUAAACAAGAGUUCAUAAAAUAUGUUGAUAUUGCUUGACAUUUACUAUGCCCCACUUCAAAACGGACCUCAGAGGAAAAGUGAAGGAGUUUUGGUUAUGAAGGGGCGGGGCUGUUUUCACACCCCAAAACGUCACAGUUACGUUGCAGGAAACGAGUUUCUACAGCUACCCUCCCCCACAUCACACUCGCUGACCAUCAAUUAGGAAACGCGCGCUUUGCUACCUGCACAAAAGGAAGGCGUUGAGAAGAGUGAGCGUACGAGUCAGCAUCAUCGAGAAAAACCCAGAAAGUGACAAAUACUUCAGAAUUAAAGCAGAUGGACAAUCCCACUGAAGAUGGUAAUUAUUCUGACUCAGUCUUUUUGGAUCAGAUGAGGAAUACAAACCAACUAAGACAUCCUCUGAGUCGAGUGAUGGCGAGGAGAUAUUCCAUCCAAAGGUAGAAAAAUUGUUCUCUUAUGAUACAUCCAGUGAAGACUCUACAAGUCAUCAGACAUAUGAAGCAGAGGAGCACAGUCACGUCUGCAAUUCGUAAAGAAGGUAACCCAUUAACCUAUGUAAAAACAAAA